CGAACGCUGGCGGCAGGCUUAAUACAUGCAAGUCGAACGGUUAAAGCUCCUUCGGGAGUGUAUAAAGUGGCGAACGGGUGAGUAACAGGUGGAUAACCUGCCUUUUGGUAGAGGAUAACGGCUGGAAACGGCCGCUAAUACUGUAUGUGAUUUUCCGGUCCCCGGACUGGUUAAGGAAAGGCGCUUCGGCGCCGCCAAAAGAUGGAUCCGCCCCCCAUUAGCUAGUUGGUAAGGUAACGGCUUACCAAGGCUUCGAUGGGUAGCCGAGCUGAGAGGUUGAUCGGCCACACUGGAACUGAGAUACGGUCCAGACACCUACGGGUGGCAGCAGUAGGGAAUAUUGCGCAAUGGGCGAAAGCCUGACGCAGCCAUGCCGCGUGAGUGAUGAAGGCCUUCGGGUCGUAAAGCUCUUUUCUGAGGGAAGAAACGUUCAGGGAGGUAAUGCCCUGGAUCUGACGGUACCUUAGGAAUAAGGGACGGCUAACUCC
Molecule: ribosomal RNA, 488 nt
Filed under: uncultured bacterium
Lineage: Bacteria
Description: bacterial SSU rRNA
Rfam family: Bacterial small subunit ribosomal RNA
Source: RNAcentral